This 647-nucleotide long non-coding RNA is filed under the name Homo sapiens (human). Its description in RNAcentral is "HSALNT0323148". The record is from RNAcentral. Lineage: Eukaryota; Metazoa; Chordata; Mammalia; Primates; Hominidae.
CGUCUGAGAAGUGAGGAGACCCUCUGCCUGGCAACCACCCCGUCUGAGAAGUGAGGAGCCCCUCCGCCCGGCAGCCACUCCAUCUGGGAAGUGAGGAGCGUCUCCGCCCGGCAGCCACCCCGUCCGGGAGGGAGGUGGGGGGGGGGUCAGCCCCCCGCCCGGCCAGCCGCCCCAUCCGGGAGGGAGGUGGGGGGGUCAGCCCCCCGCCCGGCCAGCCGCGCCGUCCGGGAGGGAGGUGGGGGGGUCAGCCCCCCGCCUGGCCAGCCGUGCCGUCCGGGAGGAAGUGGGGGGGUCAGCCCUCCGCCCGGCCAGUCGCCCCGUCUGGGAGGUGAGGGGCGCCUCUGCCCGGCCGCCCCUACUGGGAAGUGAGGAGCCCCUCUGCCCGGCCAGCCGCCCCGUCCGGGAGGGAGGUUGGGGGGUCAGCCCCCCGCCCGGCCAGCCGCCCCGUCCGGGAGGUGAGGGGCGCCUCUGCCCCGCCGCCCCUCCUGGGAAGUGAGGAACCCCUCUGCCGGGCCACCACCCCGUCUGGGAGGUGUGCCCAACAGCUCAUUGAGAACGGGCCAGGAUGACAAUGGUGGCUUUGUGGAAUAGAAAGGCGGGAAAGGUGGGGAAAAGAUUGAGAAAUCGGAUGGUUGCCGUGUCUGUGU